Long non-coding RNA from Thalassophryne amazonica, 159 nucleotides. RefSeq lists it as uncharacterized. NCBI's taxonomy places the organism in Eukaryota, Metazoa, Chordata, Actinopteri, Batrachoidiformes, Batrachoididae. The transcript is spliced from 3 exons. The record is from RefSeq and is a predicted model, not a curated record.
UCAGCUUGUGAAUUAAAUAUCAGAUUGCAACAUCUUGAUCAGUCAGACCAUUCUGGAUCAGUAUGCAAUUAUUGCAUUGUGUUGUGGAAUCUGGAUCCAGGUCAAGUCUGGGUCACAAUGUGACUCACAUAUCUUUCAUUUCUUGUACUUUAAAUCAGA